CUUUUACUCUCCGCUGGACUGGAGAAGUUUACCUCCCCCAACACCCAAGAGAUGCGACUUAAUGCUCUCAAAGGCUAGUGCUCACCACGUCUGGGGUCCCUGGGCAGGCAGGAGAGAACGCUGCGGACAGGGAACCGCCCUGCCUCAGCUACAGAGCCACGCCGGCUCCUUCGCAUUUCUUAAAAAGUGAGUCGGAGUUAUGCAACCAGCAUAAUUAGCGUCUAUCGAGUCCCGGAGAAUCUUUUACAUCCACAGCACUGAUUUCACACCUAGAAGUCGUAGCAGUUUCGAAAUUACUGUAACACACCGCCCGGAUGAUAUAUUGUCUGUCUUAGGCCAGAUUAGCAGGACACGCGCGCAUAACCUACGUUUAAAUCACACCCUGAAAUGCGGAGAAGAUGGUUAGCCCCGUAGGGAUUUACAGGCGACAGAGGAAAACUGGGACAAUUCAUUGUUUCUCUUUUUUGAUUUCCUGUUUCUAGAGAAAGCAUUGGUGUCAAGGACGAGGUAGGUAAUGCGAUCUAAAAGGCACGCCGGAUGCCCCAUCCUAAUCCGUAGUUCCAGGAAAACUGCCUUCAGUCGACACCGCGUACGUUCCUCUCGCCUGUCCAGCUGCCCCGGCAGGGACGCCCCCAAGGGUCUGUAUUCCUAGGGCUGGAAACAAAACAGCUAACCGGGUCUGCUGCUAAGAGAGCGCUCCAAGAUGGACUGCCGGGGAAAGGCAUUUUGACCCCGAUGGAAAUUAGUCAUAUUGACAGACGCCCAGGGAAGCUGCGCGAGGUGCUCCACGUUGCCCCACAUACCCGAAGCCGUGCUUCUACCCACCGGAUUGCCUUCGGGGGCCCCUGGGAGCCGUGUCGACGCCGCGGCGCUGUGGGUCCGCGCGAGCAGGAACCAGCAGGCCCGUCAGGUCUGCGCUCUCGGCAGCCGGGUCGCCCAGCGUGGUCGAAGAUGCUCAGAGGAGGAGGAAGCGCCGAGAAAAAAGAGGAAGGAGGCGGCGGGGUGUGUGUGUGUGUCGGGGGAGGGGGGGGGAGGACCUGACAUACACACAAGCGCGCAAAACCGACUUUGGUGAUGGGCUUUUUCAGUUUCACACGAAGCGACCUGUAGUAUCUGGAGAAGGUUUUUGAAGACGUUUAGGAGGGAGGGUGAGUUUUCUGCUGAGAAACUCAAUCUGCCAUACAGUAGCGGCCCCAUCUGGGAUCUGUCACUGCUGACAGCACCACAGGGCACAGACGUGAUCUUCUGCACAGCCUGCACUCCCCGAAAUACCCUCCUUAAUCAAAGGAUGUCUGCGCGCCGGAGCUCAGCUGACCGCACCGGGAGCAGAGGGGCCAGCGAAUUCCACCCCCGCCUCCCCCGGCCGCCCCCUCCCCACCGACGCAGCCGGGCCCCUCUCCUCUGACCAGCGCAUUAAUUAAAAGCGGAAAAGAGACAGAGGCUGAUGUCAUUGCUCUCAGAAGAUCAUAAACGUAAAAGAGUCAUCCUGUGAGAAUCCCUGAAAAUGACUUUAAUGAAUAAUUUCAGAGACAGUUAUGGCUUUGGGUAAUUACUGAGCGAGAAUAUGAAAACCAGAUUUGGAAAGCGAAGGCGAUGGUCAGGCGGCCUGGCGGCCACUUUCUCCCAUUAAAACCGCACCAGCUUUUCCUCACCGCCAAAUUCUAGUUACAGACUUUAGAUGCAUUUUCUUCUUUAGGAAUAAAAGCAACAAGCACGCAUUUUUUCCUUCCUGC
Vulpes vulpes (red fox) is the source of this 1733-nucleotide long non-coding RNA. The record is from Ensembl. NCBI's taxonomy places the organism in Eukaryota, Metazoa, Chordata, Mammalia, Carnivora, Canidae.